GGACUACUGGGGUAUCUAAUCCUGUUUGCUCCCCACGCUUUCGUACCUCAGCGUCAAUGCAGGCCCAGGUGGUUGCCUUCGCCAUCGGUGUUCUUCCGGAUAUCUACGCAUUUCACCGCUACACCCGGAGUUCCGCCACCCUCUACCGCAUUCUAGUCCACCAGUAUCGACUGCAGUUCCCAGGUUAAGCCCAGGGAUUUCACAACCGACUUAAUGAACCGCCUACGCACGCUUUACGCCCAGUAAAUCCGAUUAACGCUUGCACCCUCUGUAUUACCGCGGCUGCUGGCAC
RNAcentral lists this ribosomal RNA (292 nucleotides) under uncultured bacterium. Its description in RNAcentral is "partial 16S ribosomal RNA". The record is from RNAcentral.